RNAcentral lists this ribosomal RNA (843 nucleotides) under uncultured bacterium. RNAcentral describes it as "bacterial SSU rRNA". It matches the Rfam family "Bacterial small subunit ribosomal RNA", at positions 59 to 917 of the family's 1533-position model. The record is from RNAcentral.
CAGUCGAGCGAUGAAGCACCUUCGGGUGUGAAUUAGCGGCGAACGGGUGAGGAACACGUGAAGAAUCUGCCUUCAACUCUGGGAUAACUCCGGGAAACCGGGGCUAAUACCGGAUAUGAGCCUUGAUCGCAUGAUCGGGGCUGGAAAGUUUUUCGGUUGAAGAUGACUUCGCGGCCUAUCAGCUUGUUGGUGAGGUAAUGGCUCACCAAGGCGACGACGGGUAGCCGGCCUGAGAGGGCGACCGGCCACACUGGGACUGAGACACGGCCCAGACUCCUACGGGAGGCAGCAGUGGGGAAUAUUGGGCAAUGGAGGAAACUCUGACCCAGCGACGCCGCGUGAGGGAUGAAGGCCUUCGGGUUGUAAACCUCUUUCAGUAGGGAAGAAGCGAAAGUGACGGUACCUACAGAAGAAGCACCGGCUAACUAUGUGCCAGCAGCCGCGGUAAUACAUAGGGUGCAAGCGUUGUCCGGAAUUAUUGGGCGUAAAGAGCUCGUAGGUGGUUCGAUACGUCGGAUGUGAAAAUCAGGGGCUCAACCCCUGACCUGCAUCCGAUACGGUCGAGCUAGAGUUUGGUAGGGGAGACUGGAAUUCCUGGUGUAGCGGUGGAAUGCGCAGAUAUCAGGAGGAACACCGAUGGCGAAGGCAGGUCUCUGGGCCAAUACUGACACUGAGGAGCGAAAGCGUGGGGAGCGAACAGGAUUAGAUACCCUGGUAGUCCACGCCGUAAACGGUGGGCGCUAGUUGUGCGAACCUUCCACGGUUUGUGCGACGCAGCUAACGCAUUAAGCGCCCCGCCUGGGGAGUACGAUCGCAAGAUUAAAACUCAAAGGAAUUGACGGG